Molecule: ribosomal RNA, 1031 nt
Filed under: Salmonella enterica subsp. enterica serovar Muenster
Lineage: Bacteria; Pseudomonadati; Pseudomonadota; Gammaproteobacteria; Enterobacterales; Enterobacteriaceae
Description: partial 23S ribosomal RNA
Rfam family: Bacterial large subunit ribosomal RNA
Source: RNAcentral
GACUCGUCACACUAUCAUUAACUGAAUCCAUAGGUUAAUGAGGCGAACCGGGGGAACUGAAACAUCUAAGUACCCCGAGGAAAAGAAAUCAACCGAGAUUCCCCCAGUAGCGGCGAGCGAACGGGGAGGAGCCCAGAGCCUGAAUCAGCAUGUGUGUUAGUGGAAGCGUCUGGAAAGGCGCGCGAUACAGGGUGACAGCCCCGUACACAAAAGCGCAUGUGCUGUGAGCUCGAUGAGUAGGGCGGGACACGUGGUAUCCUGUCUGAAUAUGGGGGGACCAUCCUCCAAGGCUAAAUACUCCUGACUGACCGAUAGUGAACCAGUACCGUGAGGGAAAGGCGAAAAGAACCCCGGCGAGGGGAGUGAAAAAGAACCUGAAACCGUGUACGUACAAGCAGUGGGAGCACAGGUUUACCUGUGUGACUGCGUACCUUUUGUAUAAUGGGUCAGCGACUUAUAUUCUGUAGCAAGGUUAACCGAAUAGGGGAGCCGGAGGGAAACCGAGUCUUAAUUGGGCGUUAAGUUGCAGGGUAUAGACCCGAAACCCGGUGAUCUAGCCAUGGGCAGGUUGAAGGUUGGGUAACACUAACUGGAGGACCGAACCGACUAAUGUUGAAAAAUUAGCGGAUGACCUGUGGCUGGGGGUGAAAGGCCAAUCAAACCGGGAGAUAGCUGGUUCUCCCCGAAAGCUAUUUAGGUAGCGCCUCGUGAAUUCAUCUCCGGGGGUAGAGCACUGUUUCGGCUAGGGGGCCAUCCCGGCUUACCAACCCGAUGCAAACUGCGAAUACCGGAGAAUGUUAUCACGGGAGACACACGGCGGGUGCUAACGUCCGUCGUGAAGAGGGAAACAACCCAGACCGCCAGCUAAGGUCCCAAAGUCAUGGUUAAGUGGGAAACGAUGUGGGAAGGCCCAGACAGCCAGGAUGUUGGCUUAGAAGCAGCCAUCAUUUAAAGAAAGCGUAAUAGCUCACUGGUCGAGUCGGCCUGCGCGGAAGAUGUAACGGGGCUAAACCAUGCACCGAAGCUGCGGC